This 495-nucleotide ribosomal RNA is filed under the name uncultured bacterium. RNAcentral's name for it is "bacterial SSU rRNA". It matches the Rfam family "Bacterial small subunit ribosomal RNA", at positions 8 to 494 of the family's 1533-position model. The record is from RNAcentral.
AGAGUUUGAUCCUGGCUCAGAUUGAACGCUGGCGGUAGGCUUAACACAUGCAAGUCGAACGGUAACAGCUCUAGCUUGCUAGAGGCUGACGAGUGGCGGACGGGUGAGUAACGCGUAGGAAUCUACCCAAUAGUGGGGGACAACCUGGUGAAAACCAGGCUAAUACCGCAUACGCCCUACGGGGGAAAGCAGGGGAUCUUCGGACCUUGCGCUAUUGGAUGAGCCUGCGUUAGAUUAGCUUGUUGGUGAGGUAAUGGCUCACCAAGGCGACGAUCUAUAGCUGGUCUGAGAGGAUGAUCAGCCACACUGGGACUGAGACACGGCCCAGACUCCUACGGGAGGCAGCAGUGGGGAAUAUUGCGCAAUGGGCGAAAGCCUGACGCAGCCAUACCGCGUGUGUGAAGAAGGCUCUAGGGUCGUAAAGCACUUUAAGCAGGGAGGAAGGCCUAAAGAUUAAUACUCUUUAGGAUUGACGUUACCUGCAGAAUAAGCACC